AAUUUUCAACCCACGGCUGAGUUCAACCCUGGGGUUGAAAUUUCAACCCCGCUCGCUGAAGCAGGGUUGAAAUUUCAACCCCGGGGUUGAACUCAACCCUGGGUUGAAAA
This 110-nucleotide microRNA precursor is filed under the name Paramuricea clavata. Lineage: Eukaryota; Metazoa; Cnidaria; Anthozoa; Malacalcyonacea; Plexauridae. The record is from RNAcentral.